GGUCACUCUCAGGUGACACACCCCGGAAUCGGGCUCCCUCCUCUCUGGUUCUGGGUGCAUCACCUGAGAACGGCU
Myotis lucifugus (little brown bat) is the source of this 75-nucleotide non-coding RNA. NCBI's taxonomy places the organism in Eukaryota, Metazoa, Chordata, Mammalia, Chiroptera, Vespertilionidae. The record is from Rfam.